RNAcentral lists this ribosomal RNA (508 nucleotides) under uncultured bacterium. RNAcentral's name for it is "partial 16S ribosomal RNA". It matches the Rfam family "Bacterial small subunit ribosomal RNA", at positions 28 to 507 of the family's 1533-position model. The record is from RNAcentral.
GACGAACGCUGGCGGCGUGCCUAAUACAUGCAGGUCGAACGCUUCUUUCCUCCCGAGUGCUUGCACUCAAUUGGAAAGAGGAGUGGCGGACGGGUGAGUAACACGUGGGUAACCUACCCAUCAGAGGGGGAUAACACUUGGAAACAGGUGCUAAUACCGCAUAACAGUUUAUGCCGCAUGGCAUAAGAGUGAAAGGCGCUUUCGGGUGUCGCUGAUGGAUGGACCCGCGGUGCAUUAGCUAGUUGGUGAGGUAACGGCUCACCAAGGCCACGAUGCAUAGCCGACCUGAGAGGGUGAUCGGCCACACUGGGACUGAGACACGGCCCAGACUCCUACGGGAGGCAGCAGUAGGGAAUCUUCGGCAAUGGACGAAAGUCUGACCGAGCAACGCCGCGUGAGUGAAGAAGGUGUUCGGAUCGUAAAACUCUGUUGUUAGAGAAGAACAAGGACGUUAGUAACUGAACGUCCCCUGACGGUAUCUAACCAGAAAGACACGGCUAACUACGUG